UUCAAUUUUUUUUUUUUUGAAACACCAAAUAUUAUAUUCAGACAGGUUUGUGCAAGACACACAAACUCCCGAAAGAGGCCAAGAACUACAAAACAUAGAAAGCACCGUAUAUAGGCGGAUCACCAUAGGAGCAAAGAAAACAAUCAAAACCCUACAAAUUAAAACCAUGUAACCACCCUUGUAAAAAACUGCACCCAAAAACGAUAGUUGAAACGAGACCCACAGCUAGCACUACCGUCGAGACCUUCUAAGAAGGAUAUUGAUUGAUAUUACUUCUUGUAUGGACUUGUGGACACUAUGGAAAGACAAGUAUAGAAGGUGGCUGCUGCAAUUGAAGAUGUUUUUGGCUAGAAUGUGAUAUUGUCUAGCAAAUAUUUUGAUUUCUUUUUUGUUAGGAUCUUUUAAGUCUUAGUUAUUAGUUUCUUUUGAAUUCCUUGUUUUGUCACUUGCUGUGAUAGUUACAUUGGAGUAUCAAAAUAAUGCAAAAUUGUUCAAUUUUAUA
Long non-coding RNA from Medicago truncatula (barrel medic), 502 nucleotides. RefSeq lists it as uncharacterized. Lineage: Eukaryota; Viridiplantae; Streptophyta; Magnoliopsida; Fabales; Fabaceae. The record is from RefSeq and is a predicted model, not a curated record. The transcript is spliced from 2 exons.